AUCAUUAAAACCCUACACUCAAAUGUAUCUGACCAUUACCCAAAAGUUGUAUCGUGUGAAACAAAUCUACAAAAAAGACGAAAUCAAAACAUCAGUACAACUAAACCAAAAAUCAAAUGGGACAAGAUAGAUAAAGAAGAAUAUAAGAACUUAGUUGAUCAGAAGCUUGAAAACUUGAAUUUGCAGACAAUAAGUCAACUGAAUAACAACAAGGAAAUAGAAACAUCAAUUACCAAAAUUAGUAACAUCUUAGAUAAUUGUGCACGUAAAUGUCAACCAACGAAGCAGAAAAAAAGAAAGAUGGGAAAUUUGCUAAUUUGGAACCAAGAGAUAUCCACAGCAUAUAAAGAAAUGAAAAUCACAAAAUUUACAAUGGUAUGAAGCGGGAAAACCAUCAUCCAAUCAUAAUACUUUUAACUGAAAAAAGGAGAAUAAGCAAAAUUUUCGCAGGGUAUAUAGAACAGAACUA
This 469-nucleotide long non-coding RNA is filed under the name Mytilus galloprovincialis (Mediterranean mussel). Lineage: Eukaryota; Metazoa; Mollusca; Bivalvia; Mytilida; Mytilidae. The record is from RNAcentral.